This 72-nucleotide transfer RNA is filed under the name Chloroflexota bacterium. RNAcentral's name for it is "Chloroflexi bacterium (groundwater metagenome) tRNA-Thr". It matches the Rfam family "tRNA". Rfam says of the family: Transfer RNA (tRNA) molecules are approximately 80 nucleotides in length. Their secondary structure includes four short double-helical elements and three loops (D, anti-codon, and T loops). Lineage: Bacteria; Bacillati; Chloroflexota. The record is from RNAcentral.
GCCGUCGUAGCUCAAUGGCAGAGCAUUCGCUUCGUAAGCGAGAGGUUAUGGGUUCAACUCCCAUCGACGGCU